The sequence is a ribosomal RNA, 897 nucleotides long. It matches the Rfam family "Eukaryotic large subunit ribosomal RNA", at positions 38 to 967 of the family's 3401-position model.
GCAUAUCAAUAAGCGGAGGAAAAGAAACCAACAGGGAUUGCCCCAGUAACGGCGAGUGAAGCGGCAACAGCUCAAAUUUGAAAUCUGGCCCCUAGGGUCCGAGUUGUAAUUUGUAGAGGAUGCUUUUGGCGCGGCGCCUUCCGAGUUCCCUGGAACGGGACGCCAUAGAGGGUGAGAGCCCCGUCUGGUUGGAUGCCUAGCCUCUGUAAAGCUCCUUCGACGAGUCGAGUAGUUUGGGAAUGCUGCUCUAAAUGGGAGGUAUAUGUCUUCUAAAGCUAAAUACCGGCCAGAGACCGAUAGCGCACAAGUAGAGUGAUCGAAAGAUGAAAAGCACUUUGAAAAGAGGGUUAAAUAGUACGUGAAAUUGUUGAAAGGGAAGCGUUUGUGACCAGACUUGGGCCCGGUUGAUCAUCCAGCGUUUUCGCUGGUGCACUCUGCCGGCCCAGGCCAGCAUCAGUUCGCGCCGGGGGAUAAAGGCUUCGGGAAUGUGGCUCUUCGGAGUGUUAUAGCCCGUUGUGUAAUACCCUGGUGCGGACUGAGGUUCGCGCUCCGCAAGGAUGCUGGCGUAAUGGUCAUCAGCGACCCGUCUUGAAACACGGACCAAGGAGUCGUCUUCGUAUGCGAGUGUUCGGGUGUCAAACCCCUACGCGUAAUGAAAGUGAACGCAGGUGAGAGCUUCGGCGCAUCAUCGACCGAUCCUGAUGUUCUCGGAUGGAUUUGAGUAAGAGCAUACGGGGCCGGACCCGAAAGAAGGUGAACUAUGCCUGUAUAGGGUGAAGCCAGAGGAAACUCUGGUGGAGGCUCGCAGCGGUUCUGACGUGCAAAUCGAUCGUCAAAUAUGGGCAUGGGGGGCGAAAGACUAAUCGAACCUUUCUAGUAGCUGGUUUCCGCCGAAGU